This 473-nucleotide ribosomal RNA is filed under the name uncultured bacterium. RNAcentral's name for it is "bacterial SSU rRNA". It matches the Rfam family "Bacterial small subunit ribosomal RNA", at positions 355 to 825 of the family's 1533-position model. The record is from RNAcentral.
UGGGGAAUAUUGCGCAAUGGGCGAAAGCCUGACGCAGCAACGCCGCGUGAGUGAUGAAGGCCUUCGGGUCGUAAAGCUCUGUCGGAGGGAACGAAUGCUCCUGAAGUUAACAGCCUCAGGAGGUGACGGUACCCUCAAAGGAAGCACCGGCUAACUCUGUGCCAGCAGCCGCGGUAAUACAGAGGGUGCAAGCGUUGUUCGGAAUCAUUGGGCGUAAAGGGCGCGUAGGCGGCAUGACAAGUCACUUGUGAAAUCUCUGGGCUUAACCCAGAACGGCCAAGUGAUACUGUCGCGCUAGAGUGCAGAAGGGGCAAUCGGAAUUCUUGGUGUAGCGGUGAAAUGCGUAGAUAUCAAGAGGAACACCUGAGGUGAAGACGGGUUGCUGGGCUGACACUGACGCUGAGGCGCGAAAGCCAGGGGAGCAAACGGGAUUAGAUACCCCCGUAGUCCCUGAGCGGGCUGGCAAGGCGCAU